GGAUGUAAGCUUACAUGCCUGUCAGCGAUUGUCGUUAACCCCCAUUUGGACUGAUAUCUGUUGAAGAAAGUUGGAGGUGAAGAAAAACUCAGCAAGACAACUGACUGCCGUUCCUGCAGUGAGCCCUGCUGAUUCAACUAUCUUCAACCACACUGAAUUCUACAUCCUUGGGUGUACUUUCUGGGUUUCUUUCAUGCCAGAAUAUAUAAAGAUU
Salarias fasciatus (jewelled blenny) is the source of this 214-nucleotide long non-coding RNA. RefSeq lists it as uncharacterized. The record is from RefSeq and is a predicted model, not a curated record. The transcript is spliced from 2 exons. NCBI's taxonomy places the organism in Eukaryota, Metazoa, Chordata, Actinopteri, Blenniiformes, Blenniidae.